AGGGAUGGAAAUAUGCCUGAAUGUCAACAUGAUUCGGGAAACCAAUCACAGAGACCCUCUAACCUUGUUUUCCCUUAUGUGCUGUGGAGACUCCUCAGUCCCCAAGCUCAGAUCUACUGUGGGAGCCCACUGGCUGCCCAGGAGAAGAUUGGCUGGCGAAAGGAUGCACUGCAUUUGCUGGUGUUCACAACGGAUGAUGUGCCCCACAUCGCAUUGGAUGGAAAAUUGGGAGGCCUGGUGCAGCCACACGAUGGCCAGUGCCACCUGAACGAGGCCAACGAGUACACUGCAUCCAACCAGAUGGACUAUCCAUCCCUUGCCUUGCUUGGAGAGAAAUUGGCAGAGAACAACAUCAACCUCAUCUUUGCAGUGACGAAAAACCAUUAUAUGCUGUACAAGAAUUUUACAGCCCUGAUACCUGGAACAACGGUGGAGAUUUUAGAUGGAGACUCCAAAAAUAUUAUUCAACUGAUUAUUAAUGCAUACAAU
Molecule: small RNA, 489 nt
Filed under: Pan troglodytes (chimpanzee)
Lineage: Eukaryota; Metazoa; Chordata; Mammalia; Primates; Hominidae
Description: processed transcript
Source: RNAcentral